RNAcentral lists this ribosomal RNA (406 nucleotides) under uncultured bacterium. Its description in RNAcentral is "partial 16S ribosomal RNA". It matches the Rfam family "Bacterial small subunit ribosomal RNA", at positions 29 to 526 of the family's 1533-position model. The record is from RNAcentral.
AUUGAACGCUGGCGGCAGGCCUAACACAUGCAAGUCGAACGAGUGGCGGACGGGUGAGUAAGGUCUGGGAAACUGCCUGAUGGGGGGGGAUAGCUACUGGAAACGGUAGCUAAUACCGCAUACCAUCAGAUAUGCCCAGGGGGGAUUAGCUAGUUGGUGGGGUAGCGGCUCACCAAGGCGACGGGCCCUCGCUGGUCUGAGAGGAUGACCAGCCACACUGGAACUGAGACACGGUCCAGACUCCUACGGGAGGCAGGAGUGGGGAAUAUUGCACAAUGGGCGCAAGCCUGAUGCAGCCAUGCCGCGUGUAUGAAGAAGGCCUUCGGGUUGUAAAGUACUUUCAGUGGGGAGGCGUUACCCGCAGAAGAAGCACCGGCUAACUCCGUGCCAGCAGCCGCGGUAAUAC